CACGGUGUUCGUCUAACUUCCAACAAUACAGCACUUGCUCCGACCAAAUAUUUGCCAGCUCUUCCCCGCAUAAGCUGUUCACAAGUUUGGGAACUUCGCACUGUACUCCUGCGCGGUCUGCACAAAGCAAAAGGGGAAAUGUUUUGAAACGAGGAUUAGAAAAUAGGAACAAGUUAAUCCAUUAGCAAGACAAGGUGGUAUCGAGAAAAAUAUAUGGUCACAUUACCAUAAAUGUUGCUGUAAUCAUUUUGCCGGCAAACCAUCUUCCAUGAAGUGCUUGUUGGGCC
Molecule: long non-coding RNA, 287 nt
Filed under: Setaria italica (foxtail millet)
Lineage: Eukaryota; Viridiplantae; Streptophyta; Magnoliopsida; Poales; Poaceae
Description: long non-coding RNA (SITA_LNC006715)
Source: RNAcentral